UUAUUCAAAGGCUAUGAGGCCAGUCAUGAAGACGGUAUCUGGGUCUAGUAUGGCACUGCUGCUGGAUUCGGUGCUGGUCCAUUCCAGUAACCCUAGAGGGGAUUAAUUUCAGGUAUAGGUCAGUCAGGGUGGUGGAGCAGUUCUUCGGCGACUCUGCCGUCAGUCCUCAUCACGAGCAGCUAAUCUGUGUCCAUGGGAACGGGCUAUGCUCCCAGUCCCAGCAGCACGGUUGGUCUGGGAGUUGAUACUGAAGCUACAGCUAGCAGCUCACCGUUGCCAAGGAGGCGAGGCUGUAAGUGGUAAGGCUUUGCGUCGUAUUUGAUCUGCGCAUUUCAUCUCCAUAUCUUUUGCUAGUAUAGUUUUUAAUGCUUUCCCUACAUUUCUAAUGCUAAUAGCACCUCUAGUUUACAGAUUAGGGUACCAUACCAUCAAUCUGAUGAGUCCCUUGUAGAUUUAGAUUCCCCUGUGUUUAACAAAAUAUAGCAUAUUUGCUAUACACGAUUGGGUAUAAAAGAUUAUUAUAGUGAUUGAAUAGGGAAGGAUUUUUCUGGUCAAUUGUUCCAUUAAUAGUGGAAACAAAAUUUCUACUGGAACAAGUUAAAAUAACUGCACUGUGGGAAUGUGAUGGUUGUUUUGGAGUUGUUUCUUGCUGGGGAUAUUCAAUACAGGUGGCAUCCAGUAUCAGGUACUUGCAUGGAAGUGCAACCUGGGAUCUCUACACCUUCUGUGGAUGGAUAUAUGAUUCUGCAUAUAUAACAAAAAAAUUGACCUUAUCAAGGAGACAAUGGCUACACCUGGUGGGGCUGAGGGUCUGAACACAAUUAAGAGGGUGUGGCAGAUCAGCCCCUGCUUGUGCUGAAGGGGCAGCAACUAGUGUUCGAGGUGUAAUGGUAUUGUUGUUCCAUCAAUGCCUGAUCUCAGUGGGAUUGCCAUGCCUAAAAAGACUGAAGGUGCACUUGCAGUGUAGUGCAAAAGAUCAAUUUUUGGGACAUCACACAAAGUUGGGAAUUUAAAACUUUCCUUGUUUAGGCAUCAUCAGCUGUGGAGAGGAAUUGUAAAUCACUUGAUCCCUGUAAUGCUGCAGGUGUCUAGACUAGACAACACUUCCAAGCAUCUAACUUGGACGCCUGGACAUGGUUUCGAGCAAGACGUGCCAUUAAAGCUGAGGCAAGCCACAUCGACAUUGAUGAGCAGGGUGUGAGGUCUGGUGGGCACGUCAUACCAGACACCAUCUCGGAGAACCUGAAGUCCACCAACGCUGUUGUCUACCAUGAGAAGCGUGAAGAAUGUGCCAUCAGAAUGAGGCUUCAGGCCGA
Sorghum bicolor (sorghum) is the source of this 1316-nucleotide long non-coding RNA. RefSeq lists it as uncharacterized. The transcript has 5 exons. The record is from RefSeq and is a predicted model, not a curated record. NCBI's taxonomy places the organism in Eukaryota, Viridiplantae, Streptophyta, Magnoliopsida, Poales, Poaceae.